This 95-nucleotide transfer RNA is filed under the name Pseudodesulfovibrio portus. Its description in RNAcentral is "tRNA-Arg". Lineage: Bacteria; Pseudomonadati; Thermodesulfobacteriota; Desulfovibrionia; Desulfovibrionales; Desulfovibrionaceae. The record is from RNAcentral.
CCUCGUCAUGGAUGGGCUUCAGGGCCACCAUCAUCUGAAUGGUGGAACAGUUGGGGUUGGCGAUGAUGCCCUUGUGCCAGUCGAGGUCAUGGGGA